Molecule: long non-coding RNA, 691 nt
Organism: Papilio xuthus (Asian swallowtail)
Lineage: Eukaryota; Metazoa; Arthropoda; Insecta; Lepidoptera; Papilionidae
Exons: 4
Source: RefSeq, a predicted model, not a curated record
CGCAUUGCCUCCAUCAACCGCCGCGAUGCAGACACGACACUAACUAAAAUACAAAUACGAUAACUUUUCAUCCAUUUUUCUCCAUCCCGACACACAAUUUUUCAUCUCUGACAUCUGUCAGUUUUGCGCGCCAUUUCCACGAACUUUAUUUUUCUAAAACUUUUUUGUCUGUGCUGGUUUUUUGUGAAUGCUGCCAGGGUUAAUAAAGCCUUCCGGUGGAUAUUAAAAGAUACAGUAUGUCACAAAACUGCAAAUCGACGUACACAGCGGCGACGACGCGCGACGCCAAUAAUAACACUCUGUACCACGGGGCCGGCGCGGGCUACGGCGGUCGGGGGUACGCGCCGCCCAACAAGAACUCUAACAACAACUAUCAGCAAGUGACGGCGAAAGUGCUGUUCGGCAGCGUGACGGCGAUCAAUGACCUCAAGCGCCAGGAGAAGGCCGAGCGGGAAGUCCGGCGGACACACUAACAUCUAACGCCAUCUAGCGAACAGAAUGAAAACUAGGAUCAUGUGAUACGAGGAAAUAUAAUGGAAGCUAUGGAGUGAUCUCGGAAGACAGGAAUAAAUGUGCAUAAAAUAUAUUUUUUUAGAUUUAUAUUAUUAAACUUAGAUUAAAGAUAUAACUCCUAUUUUAACUAUCUUUUAUAAAAUUAUUUACUACAUAAAAUUUUACCUGAUUGUAUUAG